Long non-coding RNA from Alligator sinensis (Chinese alligator), 5502 nucleotides. RefSeq lists it as uncharacterized. The transcript is spliced from 5 exons. Lineage: Eukaryota; Metazoa; Chordata; Crocodylia; Alligatoridae. The record is from RefSeq and is a predicted model, not a curated record.
AGCGAUGGAAUCCAAUUACAAAUGUUCAGUGUCGCCCUGCGGCAAAGUGUCUGUGAAAAGGGAAAGAUGACUGAGCUUAAACAACUCAGCUGUUAGGAAGAAAUAUAGGAAAUCACUGCACUCCCGGCAGAGAACAGGAACCAGCCACUUUUGGCCUGCCCCUUCAGCCCCUCGUCCCCCUCCGCCCCCUUCACCGUGGGACCCGGGCACACGCCGAUGCUGUUUCUGCCAUUCAGAGAUGUCCAUGUUCCAGCCUCAGGAACCUGCAGUCUCUUGGAGCGCACCAGACCACAGAGGCAUCGCCUCGGGCAGUACAGGAGUUUAUAGACUAGGUUGCGGACCUUGCGCUUAUUUUAUAAGCGCUCUUGAACGGCAUCUUGGCCUUUGACACGCGCAGGUGAGAGGGCAAGCACCUCCUGCAGGAGGGGAAUGGCAUCCGGCUGGUCACAUAGGAAGAUGACGAACAAGCAGGAAGCCUCUGUGCGUUUAAGGACGUGAAUCGGAGGUUUGCUGCACACUUGGUCUGGGCUCUGCCUUGCCAGGCAUUAGAGGAAGGAAAGUGCUGUAGUUAGAGGCCCUGCUGGGCAGGAAGAGUCUCCCUAUGGGCCAGAUCCUUUCCCACCCAUCAGAAGGCCAAGUGGUGUGGAGGAUAUCCAAGUGCCAUCCUAUUCUACCAGCUUGAAAACCCAUUCAAUUCAUAACGUGCCUUUGUCCUGGCCAUGGGUUCUCCAGGACUCAACCUGGGUGUGACCAGAAAGCAGUUUGACUCCAAAGUACCUCUUUGGCACCCAGGAUCUGCCUCUGUAGCAUCUCUACAGCACCUAGCACAAGAGGGUCCCCGUCCUGCUCUGGUGCCACUGCCACGUACGUCAUUAAUAGCAACAAAAAUGCGUUAUUAAUACCAUCGUUAAUAGCAACAUCAAGUGCAAAGCUGAAGAUUUACCUUCAGUUACUGGCACUGCUACAUGCUCCCCGGGUGAGCUUGGGCAGGUGACUUAGGGCCAUACUCUAGUCCAUGUACCUAAAUAAAUGAGAUUCUCUUCUACUUGGCUCAAGGCCCUGGAGAUCAGUUAAAACAGAAAGUGGCCGGGUUUUCCUCCUCCAUCACACUGCCUAUUUGUGACUAAAGUCCUGAGGGUCAGGUGAUGGCAUGUUGCAGAAGGAGGUGUAUUGAUGGCUGUUUAGGACUUGAACAGAGCAGAAGAGGAUCACACUUAGGUGCUGAAGGCCACUUGGAUGCCCACUAGGUGAAGUAACUAGGAUUCAAGUCUGAGAUGGUCCCAGUGAUGCACUGCCACUGUAUCCCAAAUGUCCAAUUUAUAUUUUUGAAUAAACAAAAAAUAAUCUGCCUGUUAAAUAACAUUGGAUCAUUAAACCGAUGACUCCGAGGAGGUGUCCGAUGCCAAGGACAUCCUGAACAGCUCAAGAGCACCCACUGAAGAGAAGCAAAGGAACCCAUCAGUGAAGAAGUUAAUACUUCAGCACAUAGUACAGAGGUUUAGCAGCAGUGUAAUGGAUAUGAGCUGAUUAAUAAUACAUCGGUGAUUAAUACCGAGAUGAUUUUUUUCGAUUAAUAAGGAUGCGGCAGAACUGCUCACUCAGGAAAGAUGUUUCCAAUCACCCAUUUGAAUGCAGUGACCAUUGCCUAAAUGCUGUGAUUAAAUCUGCAUUUAAGACACUUCAUUAAAUUACAGCAUAAGUGAAUUCUUCUAACCCACAGCAAGAAGCAUGCUCAGCCCUGGUGAGCAGAGGCAGAGAAAGGACAGGCCCCAGAAGUAUGCUUGAGACUUGCAGGGUAUCGCGUUGGCUUUGUCUGAAGGGAUGAUGUGCCCCCCACAAAGAGAAGAUAAGGGUCCCACUACUGCCGCUGGUUAAAGAAGCUUUUCUGUAGAUGGAGGGCAGCUGCCUGAGCUUCUCGAGCUGAAAGACCGAGGGUCUGGUUCAGGGUCCCAGUGCAUGUCUGUGUGGGAGAUGGGUGAUGCUGCCUGCGCACAUGAAUACAUUGCAGGUGCAGGACUACCCUUUGGCAAAAGUGGUUACCAGUCCUGUGCUGCCUGCUGACUCCCAAGCUGAGCUGACCUUCCCUUCGACCACUGAAAAAAAAUGUAAGAAGGUUUAAGUAUUUAAAAAUGUUCCAAAGAGAGGGGGGGAAAGGGUUUUGUUAUUAUUCUAAUAUAUUAUCGUGUAUACUGAAGCCCAGAGGGAGGAAAACCUACCCGCUGGAUCCAUCUCGCUGCCUAGAAACUACGAAGAGGAGAAGAUAACAAGUGAUUCUUAAUCUACUCUUGCAAACAGGAGGCCUAGAAAUGGAGGAGACUCGGACGCGUUAUUCCCCAUGUUGCACCUCAGAGCCCACCAACUGUCCAUCACCCCUAAUCCCUUGUCUUGAGCUCAGGACAAAAGCCAUCUCCAUAACCAGCGAUCUGCAAACUCUUCUCCCACUUCCACAGGUGCAGCCACGACACGUUCGUGCCCGAUUGACGCCGGCCUAACUCUGGAGGAGAACUGAUCCCGUGUCGGCGGCUCCCCCAGAAGCAGGCCCGGCCGGCCCCUUGCCCGCCAAGGGCCCUCACACGCACAUCCCUCCUCGGCAUGUUUGUAAAACAAUCUUUUUAAUUUUCUGGUUGGCUUGGCAAAUCACAGCUGCUCGUUCCCCAGAGCUCCUGAGCGCAUUUGCACAGGUUCCCAUUUACAUACAGUAGGGCUUUUAAUUUCCUUCUCGCCGCACGCUUCAGAAAUAAGCCGUCUGAAAUCUUACAGAUGGCUGAGAGAGGAGGACACUCUUCCUAGGCGACGGAGGACGCGAGGGCCACAUCACGAAUAACACGGGCUUUGCUAAGCAGCUGAGCCUCCCGUUUGUUGGGGCUGCCCCUGGAUGAAGGAUCACACGAGGGCUUGAGCUCCACUCGUUAUUUCUUUGACUCAAUGGCUUUGCAGUUACCAAGCCCGAGCCAAGGUGCUUGAGUAUUAAUUGAUACUUGCUGCUGAGUGAGGCUUAUUAAACACCAGCUUUGGGGUGAAAGUGGCAGCUCGCAGAGGCGAUAAUGAGCAGAACAAAAAGUCCAGGACUCAAACUUCGCUUUCCUCCGGCAUCUGUUACCGCAAUUACAAGCCCAAAAAACACAACAACAGCCACCAGAAAAAGACUCUUAUUAGAAAAGGAAUAGCUCCCACAAAUGCCUCCCAGUCACGGAAAUGACAGGGAUUUUCACAGCUUGCCACAUUCUGCAGCUGGGUUAAUUAUUGUCGUUUUGGAGAGUGCUGCCCAACCUCAACACCAAAUGAAUCCCAAAGAAACACAUCCAGCGUGUAAUAGCGCCUGCUAAUUCACCAGCGAACCCUCUGUGCCGAUUGGCGGCGGCGGCCUCUCCCCAAAGGGUGCGGGGACUAGGGUGGCGGGGGAAGAAUAAUUAGCAUUCUCUAGUAAUUAAUACAGUACAAUUUGCACAUAUGGUGUAAUUAGGGGGAUAAUUUAUGCGUGCCACUGAUGAUAGUGUAGCUGAUUUGCUGCCGCUGCUCUCGGGUUUCCAGUGUCCCGGUGAGCCACGCACAAGUUCGCGGCGGUGGCGUUUUGGAUGCUCCCUUUGUCUGGAAGGCGACAGCGCAGACGAGCGCUUUCCUUGUGCCACUUCCAGAACAUCCCUCCCCUGCAUCUGGGACCCUGAAGGGCUGGGGGAAAGGGAGAUUGGGGCAAAAGUGGGUAAAGUGAGGAAGGGGAUGCAGAGAGGCUGCACCAGAGGAGGACAGAAGGGGUGGAGGAUGAGCGCAAAAAUGGCAGGAAGCAAAUCUGAGGGAUGUCGUGCCAGCGCAUUGUCACGCAGGGGCUUUUUGUGGGCCCUGAGAGAGGAGGUCAGACACCCAAACGUGGCUCCUGGUCAUGUUUUGGUGUUGAUUCUCCGCUUUGGAGCCUGUUUUGCACCCUGAGAGUGAACAACACAUGGAACUUCCCCUUAUUGCCACCGAUAAUACCUGCCGUGGCCUGGAGGUGACCAACCCAGAGCUUGCAGAACGGGGUCCAGGCCCUUGGACAAGGCACCACGUCACUUAGUUAUCGGCACAAACACGAUAGUGGGAUUGCAGCCAGGCCUGCGCGUUGCACCACAAACCCCAGCCUCCAGCAGAGCUCAGCCCUGCCUGGGGAGGAAGCUCCACCCGGGCUAGAAACAGCCCAGCAGAGCUCCUCGCAGCAGAGCCGGCACGGGACGGAGUAGGAGAGGAAGAGCAGAAAAUGCCCAGCUGCUCAAGGUAGCUCUGCUCUCCUUCUCUGUGGCACGGGGAACAGCCUCACCCACUCCUGAGCCCAGGUGAGGGGCUUGUCCAAGAGCCAGUGCAGGUCACCCAGGAAGGAAGAAGACCAUGCUGCCAUCCUCAUGAGGGACCCCAGGCAGAGUAAAGGUGAGGCUGGAAAAGGGAAGGCGUCUGGGUUGACAUGGGGACAGAGCCGAUGGGCUGAGGGGCAGAAUUGGGGGCUGGCAGGAAGUGGGACAACGCGAGAUGAGAGUUUCUGCAGCAGGGGUUAAAACCACCUGGUUCAAUAAACUUAGCAUUUCUAAUUAUCCCAUACCCGUGCUGCAGACGGACUUGGGGUGGGGGGAGUUCAGACACCAAGAACCAGCCCUGAGCUGCACCAUUUCUUCUCUUUCUGCAAGCAUAAAUCUCAUGACUUUUUGGCCCACCAUGGUGAAGUUUGACUCAGGACCUUUGAACUUUUGGGAUCACUUGUAACAGCUGUGCAUCUGAAUGAGCCUCUGAGCUUCGUGCCAGGAACUGGAAGGAUUGUAGUCUGCUGCCUGUGUGUCCUUAAAGUCACGAGGAUGGUCAGUGCAGGCAUGAAGAGAUGCUUGGAUGGACUGUAAGGAUGCUACUACAAGGAACACUCUCUGGAAGUUAAGGUCCCUUAAAACAAGACUUUUCUUUCGCUCUUUGCUGUUGCCUCAUAAGAAUCCCUGAGAUCCACUUCCCAGCAGCUCUGUAAGCAGCUAACUAUGCCUAGACUCAGCAUUGCUGGCCGUGGCUAAUAGUGAUGUCUAUUCACAACACCUGUGCAAGCUCUCGAAUUAGGAGCACAUGGGGCCAGUCUUGUACCCUGCUGGUGAGGCAGUGAGAGAGAGUGGCUUGGUUUAGGGAAAGCCUAAGGAGUAUUCCCGCUGCAUUGGUGCACGCAGAGAUCCUCUCCUGCCAAGGAAAGGCUCCACAAAAGAACAAGUGACAGCCAAGCAUCAGUUUGCAGAUGAACUGAAGGGCUGAACUGAACACGGUCAGGUUGGGUGCUUGGCUGGAAUUGUUCAUUAACAGUUUUGGCUGUCAUUUAGCGCGUGGAAGCCAGCUUUCCUGUUUCAACCGUCUCUAAGAUGCGCCUGUGGUCAUCUAACUGGGAAUUCGGUACAGACUUGCUGUUGCAUCCUUGCUUCAAGAGUCAAGGGAAGAAAGGAGUCAUUGAUUUCCUCUACGCCACUUCCCACCCCCAAAAAACCCCAGCAAGACCGCUUUAAAAUCAAAAUG